Molecule: ribosomal RNA, 384 nt
Filed under: uncultured bacterium
Lineage: Bacteria
Description: partial 16S ribosomal RNA
Rfam family: Bacterial small subunit ribosomal RNA
Source: RNAcentral
UGGGGAAUAUUGCGCAAUGGGGGGAACCCUGACGCAGCAACGCCGCGUGAAGGAUGAAGGCUUUCGGGUUGUAAACUUCUUUGAUGAGGGACGAAAGAAAUGACGGUACCUCAAAAACAAGCCACGGCUAACUACGUGCCAGCAGCCGCGGUAAUACGUAAGGUGGCGAGCGUUGUCCGGAAUUACUGGGUGUAAAGGGCGUGUAGGCGGGGAUGUAAGUCAGAUGUGAAAUGCCGGGGCUUAACUCCGGAGCUGCAUCUGAAACUGUGUUUCUUGAGUGUCGGAGAGGAAAGCGGAAUUCCCAGUGUAGCGGUGAAAUGCGUAGAUAUUGGGAGGAACACCAGUGGCGAAGGCGCUUUCUGGACGAUAACUGAGCGCUGAGGC